RNAcentral lists this long non-coding RNA (1054 nucleotides) under Ornithorhynchus anatinus (platypus). RNAcentral's name for it is "lncRNA (ENSOANG00000041143.1)". The record is from RNAcentral. Lineage: Eukaryota; Metazoa; Chordata; Mammalia; Monotremata; Ornithorhynchidae.
AUGACGGCGAUGUCAGUGACGUCGGGGAUGAUAACGCAAAUGAUGACGGAGCCUGGGAAAAGCAUCUUUAAACCUUCUAUCAAGAAGCGGCAUGGCCUAGUGGAUAGAACAAGGGCUCGGGAGUCAGAAGGACCUGGGUUCCAAUUCCGUUCCGCCGCUCGGCUGCUGUGCGACCUCGGGCAGGUAACUUCACUUCUAUGUGCCUCAGUUACCUCGUCUGUAAAACGGGGAUCCAGACUGUGGGCCCCGUGGGUUGGACACGGACUGUGUCCAACCUGAAUGGCUUUUAUCUCCCCCAGCACUUAGCACAGUGCCUGGCACAUACUAAGUGCUUAAUAGACGCCUUAAAAACAACAACCCUCCUAGGGAUCAUUCCCAAACUCUAUUUAGAGAGCUAUUAAUCGAAAGCUUCCGUUGGCCGAAUGCCAUUUAAAGCUACAAUACUUCACGUCGAAGGCAAGGCCGAAGAUAUCGAGUUCCCGUCAACGGGUGGGAAGCGGCAAGACGCGGUGUGGCCUGGAAGUCAGAAGACCCGGGCUCUAAUCCUGGCUCUGCCACUUGCCUUCUGGGUGACCUUGGGCAAGUCACUUCCUUCUCUGUGUCUCAGUUUCCUCGAUGUAAAAUGAGGACUCAUGACCUAGUCUCCAUUCUAGUUAGACUCUGAGCCCCAUGCGGGACACGGACUGUAUAAGCGCUUAACAGAUGCCAUCACUGUUAUCAUUAUUAUUAUUGUUAUUAUUAACUUGUAUCUACCCCAGUGCUUAGAACAGUACGUGACUUGUAGUAAGCGCUUACCGAAUAUGAGGAUAGUAAUUAUGAUAAUGACAAUGAUCACGAUUAUUAUUAUCAAAACUCAAAGGAACUCACAGCCGCACAGGGUAAACGGACACUGAAAUGUGUGACGAGGGGAAAUGAUAAAGGAUAAAGAUAGGAAUUUGAGUACCACGGGACAUGGUGAGUAUAAGUACUUAAAAGAAGUGGUAGUAAAGAGGGUGAUUUAAAGCGGGGACAUUUACUCCUACCUAACCUCGCUACUCUCCUACUCUAACCCAGC